RNAcentral lists this ribosomal RNA (254 nucleotides) under uncultured bacterium. RNAcentral describes it as "partial 16S ribosomal RNA". It matches the Rfam family "Bacterial small subunit ribosomal RNA", at positions 524 to 776 of the family's 1533-position model. The record is from RNAcentral.
UACGUAGGGUGCGAGCGUUGUCCGGAAUUAUUGGGCGUAAAGAGCUCGUAGGCGGUCUGUCGCGUCGGUCGUGAAAACUUGGGGCUUAACCCUGAGCUUGCGGUCGAUACGGGCAUGACUGGAGUUCGGCAGGGGAGACUGGAAUUCCUGGUGUAGCGGUGAAAUGCGCAGAUAUCAGGAGGAACACCGGUGGCGAAGGCGGGUCUCUGGGCCGAUACUGGCGCUGAGGAGCGAAAGCAUGGGGAGCGAACAGG